GCCCGGGGCUUCGUCUUGACUGGGGGCGUGAGUCUCUUUAGACUCAUGCACCCCUAAAUUUGGCAGGGCGCUUGCUCUGCCAUUUUGCUUUAGGGCAAUAGCGUCGAAAGACAACAGUGGAGCUUAUAGA
Molecule: small RNA, 130 nt
Filed under: Aquipseudomonas alcaligenes
Lineage: Bacteria; Pseudomonadati; Pseudomonadota; Gammaproteobacteria; Pseudomonadales; Pseudomonadaceae
Description: Pseudomonas alcaligenes Pseudomonas rpsL leader
Rfam family: Pseudomonas rpsL leader
Source: RNAcentral